This 2549-nucleotide ribosomal RNA is filed under the name Escherichia coli. RNAcentral describes it as "partial 23S ribosomal RNA". It matches the Rfam family "Bacterial large subunit ribosomal RNA", at positions 398 to 2925 of the family's 2925-position model. Lineage: Bacteria; Pseudomonadati; Pseudomonadota; Gammaproteobacteria; Enterobacterales; Enterobacteriaceae. The record is from RNAcentral.
UGUGAGCUCGAUGAGUAGGGCGGGACACGUGGUAUCCUGUCUGAAUAUGGGGGGACCAUCCUCCAAGGCUAAAUACUCCUGACUGACCGAUAGUGAACCAGUACCGUGAGGGAAAGGCGAAAAGAACCCCGGCGAGGGGAGUGAAAAAGAACCUGAAACCGUGUACGUACAAGCAGUGGGAGCACGCUUAGGCGUGUGACUGCGUACCUUUUGUAUAAUGGGUCAGCGACUUAUAUUCUGUAGCAAGGUUAACCGAAUAGGGGAGCCGAAGGGAAACCGAGUCUUAACUGGGCGUUAAGUUGCAGGGUAUAGACCCGAAACCCGGUGAUCUAGCCAUGGGCAGGUUGAAGGUUGGGUAACACUAACUGGAGGACCGAACCGACUAAUGUUGAAAAAUUAGCGGAUGACUUGUGGCUGGGGGUGAAAGGCCAAUCAAACCGGGAGAUAGCUGGUUCUCCCCGAAAGCUAUUUAGGUAGCGCCUCGUGAAUUCAUCUCCGGGGGUAGAGCACUGUUUCGGCAAGGGGGUCAUCCCGACUUACCAACCCGAUGCAAACUGCGAAUACCGGAGAAUGUUAUCACGGGAGACACACGGCGGGUGCUAACGUCCGUCGUGAAGAGGGAAACAACCCAGACCGCCAGCUAAGGUCCCAAAGUCAUGGUUAAGUGGGAAACGAUGUGGGAAGGCCCAGACAGCCAGGAUGUUGGCUUAGAAGCAGCCAUCAUUUAAAGAAAGCGUAAUAGCUCACUGGUCGAGUCGGCCUGCGCGGAAGAUGUAACGGGGCUAAACCAUGCACCGAAGCUGCGGCAGCGACGCUGAUGCGUUGUUGGGUAGGGGAGCGUUCUGUAAGCCUGUGAAGGUGUGCUGUGAGGCAUGCUGGAGGUAUCAGAAGUGCGAAUGCUGACAUAAGUAACGAUAAAGCGGGUGAAAAGCCCGCUCGCCGGAAGACCAAGGGUUCCUGUCCAACGUUAAUCGGGGCAGGGUGAGUCGACCCCUAAGGCGAGGCCGAAAGGCGUAGUCGAUGGGAAACAGGUUAAUAUUCCUGUACUUGGUGUUACUGCGAAGGGGGGACGGAGAAGGCUAUGUUGGCCGGGCGACGGUUGUCCCGGUUUAAGCGUGUAGGCUGGUUUUCCAGGCAAAUCCGGAAAAUCAAGGCUGAGGCGUGAUGACGAGGCACUACGGUGCUGAAGCAACAAAUGCCCUGCUUCCAGGAAAAGCCUCUAAGCAUCAGGUAACAUCAAAUCGUACCCCAAACCGACACAGGUGGUCAGGUAGAGAAUACCAAGGCGCUUGAGAGAACUCGGGUGAAGGAACUAGGCAAAAUGGUGCCGUAACUUCGGGAGAAGGCACGCUGAUAUGUAGGUGAAGCGACUUGCUCGUGGAGCUGAAAUCAGUCGAAGAUACCAGCUGGCUGCAACUGUUUAUUAAAAACACAGCACUGUGCAAACACGAAAGUGGACGUAUACGGUGUGACGCCUGCCCGGUGCCGGAAGGUUAAUUGAUGGGGUUAGCGGUAACGCGAAGCUCUUGAUCGAAGCCCCGGUAAACGGCGGCCGUAACUAUAACGGUCCUAAGGUAGCGAAAUUCCUUGUCGGGUAAGUUCCGACCUGCACGAAUGGCGUAAUGAUGGCCAGGCUGUCUCCACCCGAGACUCAGUGAAAUUGAACUCGCUGUGAAGAUGCAGUGUACCCGCGGCAAGACGGAAAGACCCCGUGAACCUUUACUAUAGCUUGACACUGAACAUUGAGCCUUGAUGUGUAGGAUAGGUGGGAGGCUUUGAAGUGUGGACGCCAGUCUGCAUGGAGCCGACCUUGAAAUACCACCCUUUAAUGUUUGAUGUUCUAACGUUGACCCGUAAUCCGGGUUGCGGACAGUGUCUGGUGGGUAGUUUGACUGGGGCGGUCUCCUCCUAAAGAGUAACGGAGGAGCACGAAGGUUGGCUAAUCCUGGUCGGACAUCAGGAGGUUAGUGCAAUGGCAUAAGCCAGCUUGACUGCGAGCGUGACGGCGCGAGCAGGUGCGAAAGCAGGUCAUAGUGAUCCGGUGGUUCUGAAUGGAAGGGCCAUCGCUCAACGGAUAAAAGGUACUCCGGGGAUAACAGGCUGAUACCGCCCAAGAGUUCAUAUCGACGGCGGUGUUUGGCACCUCGAUGUCGGCUCAUCACAUCCUGGGGCUGAAGUAGGUCCCAAGGGUAUGGCUGUUCGCCAUUUAAAGUGGUACGCGAGCUGGGUUUAGAACGUCGUGAGACAGUUCGGUCCCUAUCUGCCGUGGGCGCUGGAGAAUUGAGGGGGGCUGCUCCUAGUACGAGAGGACCGGAGUGGACGCAUCACUGGUGUUCGGGUUGUCAUGCCAAUGGCACUGCCCGGUAGCUAAAUGCGGAAGAGAUAAGUGCUGAAAGCAUCUAAGCACGAAACUUGCCCCGAGAUGAGUUCUCCCUGACUCCUUGAGAGUCCUGAAGGAACGUUGAAGACGACGACGUUGAUAGGCCGGGUGUGUAAGCGCAGCGAUGCGUUGAGCUAACCGGUACUAAUGAACCGUGAGGCUUAACCUU